This 301-nucleotide ribosomal RNA is filed under the name uncultured bacterium. RNAcentral's name for it is "partial 16S ribosomal RNA". It matches the Rfam family "Bacterial small subunit ribosomal RNA", at positions 509 to 808 of the family's 1533-position model. The record is from RNAcentral.
CAGUCGCCACGGUAAUACGUAGGGUGCAAGCGUUAAUCGGAAUUACUGGGCGUAAAGCGUGCGCAGGCGGUUAUAUAAGACAGAUGUGAAAUCCCCGGGCUCAACCUGGGAACUGCAUUUGUGACUGUAUAGCUAGAGUACGGCAGAGGGGGAUGGAAUUCCGCGUGUAGCAGUGAAAUGCGUAGAUAUGCGGAGGAACACCGAUGGCGAAGGCAAUCCCCUGGGCCUGUACUGACGCUCAUGCACGAAAGCGUGGGGAGCAAACAGGAUUAGAUACCCCCGUAGUCCUGUCUCUUAUACC